GGAGGAGGGAGUCGUAUGCUGGCGGCUGGUACCUUUCCGGCCAUCUUUCGUUAGUUAAGUUUCAGCGUGGUUGUGCGUGCAAGCCGGUUUAUCACUUCAUAUAUUUAUCGUACGUUUAGAUUAAAUAUCGUUAUCACUUAUCGCGCGAUUGGUAUUUAUGCGAUUCCGUUCUCGUCCUCGUGCUCGUUGUCAUCCUGAAAGUUGAAACGUUAUUGAGUUGCCGUGAAAAUGAGUACGGAUAGUAUCGAGAAGUUGUACAAAAAUUUUGGUGUACUCGCUGACGCUAAAGACAAGCUGUCGGAGCAUGAGCAGGAGUAUCUAGAAAUUUUAAAAGCUGUUAAAGGUAGUCCAAAGGAAAAAAGAUUAGCCUCUCAAUUCAUUGCUAGAUUUUUCAAGCACUUUCCCAAAUUAGCAGAUAAGGCUAUAGAUGCACAUUUAGAUCUUUGCGAAGAUGAAGAUAUGUCUAUACGUAAGCAAGCAAUAAAAGAUUUACCAACUUUAUGCAAAGAUAGUAAGGAGCAUACAGCAAGAAUAGCUGAUAUAUUAGCACAACUUUUACUAGCUCAAGAUUCUUCAGAAUUAGAUGUUGUUCAUAACAGUAUUAUGACAUUAAUUAAAAAUGACCCUAAAGGAGCUAUAAGCGGUUUCUUUGUUCAGAUUCUUAAUGGGGACGAUGGUAUAAGGGAGCGUUGUAUCAAAUUUUUAGCUAAUAAACUAAAAACUUUAGGUCGAGAUACUAUAACCAAAGAACCAGAAGAUGUACUAAUAACAGAAUGCAAAAAAGUUUUACAGGAUGUUACAGCGGAUGAAUUUCAUAGUAUUAUGGAAAUACUUGCUUGGACUAGACUUGGAUCGACAGUUCAUGGACAACAAGAAUUAGUAGAUAUAGCAAUCGAACAAGCGGAACUUUCUGUGCCAUUUAAAUAUACAAAUUUAGAACAAUGCAGUAGGCUUAUUCAAUGUAUUAAACAUGCUCUUCCAUUCUUCAGCUCUCAAGCAAAUUCUUCAAAGUUUGUUUCAUAUAUUUCAAUGCAAGUCUUACCACAUUUAUCUCUAAUAACUUCACCGGAUGGAAGAGAUGUACAAUUAGAACUUCUUAAAUUGCUCGCUGAAUUAGCAGAAUAUUGUGGUAAAAUAGAAAAGCCAGAAGAGAAAGUUCAACAGUUGUAUAAUGCUUUGAUUACAUUUAUGCCACUUCCUCCGGACACAGAAGUUACUGAAGUACCGAAACUUCAGUUUAGUCAUGUAGAAUGUUUAAUUUUUGCUUUUCAUAAAUUAUGUAAACAAACGCCAGAGUUUUUAAUAAAAGAUGCGGAACAGCUAAAAGAAUUCAGAUUACGACUACAAUACUUUGCACGUGGAAUUCAAGGAUAUAUAAAAAAAUUACGAGAAGCUAUUAAUGGCAAAAGUGAAGAAGAACUCAAAACAGAAGAGAAUCAAUUAAAAGUUAUAGCUUUAAAAACAACAAAUAAUAUUAAUACGCUUAUUAAAGAUUUAUUUCAUUCUCCGCCAAGUUUCAAGAGCAUUAUUCACCUUUCGUGGAAAACAAUUAUUACAAAACAAAAGAAGGAUGAAAAAGUUUCAACAGGACAAAAACGACAUACACCUAUCACUUUUGGUAAUGGAAAUGCCACUACACACAGUUCAAAUAAACGAAUGAAAGAAGACAUUUCAAAAAAUAAUAAACAACUCUAUACUCCUCCAAGUGGAAAAUAUAGUUCAAAUAUUUCAUCAAAUUAUGGUAACCGAGGACGAUUUCAAAAUCGAUACAAUAAAAUUGGCGGUCGAGGUGGUUUUAGACCGCGUGGACGCAGUAGUUGGAGAAAAAAUAUAUACUAGUUUAUUUAAAUAAAAAUCUUGGGUUUUUAACCAAAACAGAUAUCAACUUUUCAUCGGAGCUGAAUUUUAACGAGAUGGAGAUAAACAUUUUUUUAUAAUGAGAAAAGAAGAUAAUAGAAUAUUCAAAAUGAAUUUGUACUGAUAAACGAUCAUCAUUAAGGCUUAUGUGACGUUUAUUUAAGUUUCGGACUUGAAAUUGUAUUUUUAAUCAGUUAGCCUUCGCGUGAAAUAAGCAAUGGUAGUCAUAUAUUUCGCAAACUACUGUCACAAAGAUGCAGUUUCUGUAUAUACCACAAUGAUGAGGAACUUUUCAAAGAAGGGCAUAAUAUUAGAUUUUUUUUCAGAUUUCAACCAAUCAGUAAAUAUUAAAACUAUUUAAUCAGUUAUUCCAGAGCCGUGAUGGAACAUAUGUUAGUCUUAUUCUAUUUCAGAUUAACCUAGAGCAGAGAAAUUAUACAAAUUGUUUCUAAUAUAGAGCAUUCACAAUAAUCAUCGCUAAGGUGAGUCUUCAUGGUUUUUCUCAAAACCCUUUUUCCUUCCUCUCCAUUAGUCACAUCGAAUUUCAAAAUGUUAUGCUACUUCUGUAAGUUUGUAGAUAUACCCUUAUUAUGGUAAUAAACAGUUUUUUAAUGGA
Ceratosolen solmsi marchali is the source of this 2473-nucleotide RNA transcript. It is a transcript of the gene named apoptosis inhibitor cassowary, with no coding region annotated. The transcript is spliced from 10 exons. The record is from RefSeq and is a predicted model, not a curated record. Lineage: Eukaryota; Metazoa; Arthropoda; Insecta; Hymenoptera; Agaonidae.